RNAcentral lists this unclassified non-coding RNA (879 nucleotides) under Hevea brasiliensis (rubber tree). The record is from RNAcentral. Lineage: Eukaryota; Viridiplantae; Streptophyta; Magnoliopsida; Malpighiales; Euphorbiaceae.
UUUCCAAGUCGAGAUUGUGUUACAUAUCAUAAGAACAGAUCAAAUGCCAUCAUUAAAAAUGAAGACCCAACCAAGCAUGGAUUCUUUAAGAGGAAAAAGUUGUCUGAGUGUGUGUCAAAAGUCUAAUACGAUAUCCAAAAAAUCAGGUUCUCAUGUCACAGUUUCUCAACAGAUAGCAGAAUGUGAUGCUUAUGUUCAGAAAUGUCAGAAUGGAUACGGUAUAGAAACAUACACCCCGGAUAUUGAGUGUGAUGAAGCUAUUGACCAGCGAGAAUUUUUGAAUGAAGAAAAUUCUCAGUUUCAAAAGCAUUCAUCAACUUUUGCAGAUUCAGGCAUUGUGGGAAGAAUGGAAUCAACCCUUAACUGUACAUCAAACUUGGAAACAAUUUUUUCUCCUGCUCUGGAGCCUGUUGAAAUUCACAGUGUGCCAAAUAUUGAUGAUGAUGCAGUAGGGAGCGACAAAGAUCUUAAUGUGCCAGGGUCGGGUGCUGAUGACAGUGAUGAUAACAGAAGCUCAUGUGACUAUCAAACAUGCAAUGUCUCAGAUUUCUUUAUUUCUGACAUGAUUGUUACUGGCUUACCAUUCGAUGGGAGCACAGUUGAUGAUGAUAUAACUGAGACCAAUCCUUUUCCUGAGUAUAAAUGUGCUGAGUCUAGUGUGUUGUUUGACAUGGCUGGGGAAUGUGUGAUGCUACCUUUUCUUGAAGACACUGCCAAAGGCAGCAAUUCCAGUGAUAUGAUAUCUUGUGAAGAGGUAGAUCAAGAUAAUGCUAGCUUCUACCUAGCAAUUAAUCAGAUACGAUCGUGCAACCAGGAAUCUGAUCUUAACAUUGAAUCAGACCAAGUAGAGGACUUUGAUCCUCAGUUCUUUAUCAAAAA